RNAcentral lists this ribosomal RNA (119 nucleotides) under Propithecus coquereli (Coquerel's sifaka). Lineage: Eukaryota; Metazoa; Chordata; Mammalia; Primates; Indriidae. The record is from RNAcentral.
GUCUACAGCCAUACUACCCUGAACACGCCCAGUCUCAUCUGAUCUCGGAGGCUAAGCGGGGUCGGGCCUGGUUAGAAUAAUUUUAAAAGAAAAAAAAAACAGUGAAGAAAAUGAAGACU